UACGUAGGUGGCAAGCGUUGUCCGGAUUUACUGGGUGUAAAGGGCGUGCAGCUGGAGAGACAAGUCAGAUGUGAAAUCCACGGGCUCAACCCGUGAACUGCAUUUGAAACUGUUUCCCUUGAGUAUCGGAGAGGUAAUCGGAAUUCCUUGUGUAGCGGUGAAAUGCGUAGAUAUAAGGAAGAACACCAGUGGCGAAGGCGGAUUACUGGACGAUAACUGACGGUGAGGCGCGAAAGCGUGGGGAGCAAACAGG
Molecule: ribosomal RNA, 253 nt
Filed under: uncultured bacterium
Lineage: Bacteria
Description: partial 16S ribosomal RNA
Rfam family: Bacterial small subunit ribosomal RNA
Source: RNAcentral